ACGAGAAAGCGGGCUUCGGCCUGUGAGUACAGUGGCAGACGGGUGAGUAACACGUGGGUAACCUGCCCGCGGGUGGGGGAUAACCCUCCGAAAGGAGGGCUAAUACCGCAUAACAUCCCGAGCCCCUCGGGGCUCGUGAUCAAAGCUUGCCUCUACUUGUAGGCAAGCGCCUGUGGAGGGGCCCGCGCCCCAUUAGCUUGUUGGUGAGGUAACGGCUCACCAAGGCUACGAUGGGUAGCCGGCCUGAGAGGGUGAUCGGCCACACUGGAACUGAGACACGGUCCAGACUCCUACGGGAGGCAGCAGUGAGGAAUUUUGCGCAAUGGGCGAAAGCCUGACGCAGCGACGCCGCGUGGAGGACGAAGGUCUUCGGAUCGUAAACUCCUGUCGGGCGGGACGAAAUCUGAACGGAUGAAUAAGUCGUUCAGUUGACGGUACCGCUGGAGGAAGCCCCGGCUAACUCCGUGCCAGCAGCCGCGGUAAUACGGAGGGGGCCAGCGUUGUUCGGAAUUAUUGGGCGUAAAGGGCGCGUAGGCGGCUGGGCAGGUCAGAGGUGAAAGCCCUCGGCUCAACCGAGGAACUGCCUCUGAAACUGCCUGGCUUGAGUCCCGGAGAGGGUAGUGGAAUUCCCAGUGUAGCGGUGAAAUGCGUAGAUAUUGGGAGGAACACCAGUGGCGAAGGCGGCUACCUGGACGGGUACUGACGCUGAGGCGCGAAAGCGUGGGGGAGCAAACAGGAUUAGAUACCCUGGUAGUCCACGCUGUAAACGAUGGGCACUUGGUGUUGCGGGUAUCGACCCCU
This 801-nucleotide ribosomal RNA is filed under the name uncultured bacterium. RNAcentral describes it as "bacterial SSU rRNA". It matches the Rfam family "Bacterial small subunit ribosomal RNA", at positions 66 to 840 of the family's 1533-position model. The record is from RNAcentral.